RNAcentral lists this ribosomal RNA (497 nucleotides) under uncultured bacterium. Its description in RNAcentral is "partial 16S ribosomal RNA". It matches the Rfam family "Bacterial small subunit ribosomal RNA", at positions 28 to 507 of the family's 1533-position model. The record is from RNAcentral.
GAUGAACGCUGGCGGCGUGCCUAAUACAUGCAAGUCGAGCGAACAGACGAGGAGCUUGUUCCUCUGACGUUAGCGGCGGACGGGUGAGUAACACGUGGAUAACCUACCUAUAAGACUGGGAUAACUUCGGGAAACCGGAGCUAAUACCGGAUAAUAUAUUGAACCGCAUGGUUCAAUUGUGAAAGACGGUUUUGCUGUCACUUAUAGAUGGAUCCGCGCGGCAUUAGCUAGUUGGUAAGGUAACGGCUUACCAAGGCAACGAUGCGUAGCCGACCUGAGAGGGUGGUCGGCCACACUGGAGCGGAGACGCGGUCCAGACUCCUACGGGAGGCAGCAGUAGGGAAUGGUCGGCAAUGGGCGAAAGCCUGGCGGAGCAACGCCGCGUGAAUGAUGAAGGUCUUCGGAUCGUAAAACUCUGUUAUUAGGGAAGAACAAAUGUGUGAGUAAAUAUGCACGUCUUGACGGUACCUGAUCAGGAAGCCACGGCUAACUACGUG